CAGUCGCCGCGGGAAUACGUAGGUGGCAAGCGUUGUCCGGAAUUAUUGGGCGUAAAGGGCUCGCAGGCGGUUUCUUAAGUCUGAUGUGAGAGCCCCCGGCUCAACCGGGGAGGGUCAUUGGAAGCUGGGAAACUUGAGUGCAGAAGAGGAGAGUGGAAUUCCACGUGUAGCGGUGAAAUGCGUAGAGAUGUGGAGGAACACCAGUGGCGAAGGCGACUCUCUGGUCUGUAACUGACGCUGAGGAGCGAAAGCGUGGGGAGCGAACAGGAUUAGAUACCCCAGUAGUCCCUGUCUCUUAUAC
RNAcentral lists this ribosomal RNA (301 nucleotides) under uncultured bacterium. Its description in RNAcentral is "partial 16S ribosomal RNA". It matches the Rfam family "Bacterial small subunit ribosomal RNA", at positions 509 to 807 of the family's 1533-position model. The record is from RNAcentral.